Molecule: long non-coding RNA, 3289 nt
Filed under: Triticum aestivum (bread wheat)
Lineage: Eukaryota; Viridiplantae; Streptophyta; Magnoliopsida; Poales; Poaceae
Description: long non-coding RNA (TAES_LNC006223)
Source: RNAcentral
AGAUUUCAGUUUAGUAUUACAAGGAUAGGAAUGAUAAAUGCAUUAGUACUGUUGGGCUUUCUUAAAUGUUGUUGGGUUUUCUUAAAUGUUGUUUGGGGUUCGGUGGUGGUAGCGAAAAAACACGAUAUAUUUUAAUUUUAUGUUCCUCUUAACACAGGAAAACUAGGAGAGAUGGUGCAAACUGAUGGCCAAAGUUGUGGUGCUUUGCAAGGUAACACAUAUGUCCCUGGCCUAUCUUUAUGUAUCAUGAUGUUUCUAUUUGUAUACAAAUGCAGUAAUGCUUAUUACAAAGCCAGUGCCCUUUUUAGGCAACCAAAUCAAAUGAUCUUGUGUAUCAUGGUUUUUUUCCAACAAAGCAUCCUAGAUCAAAUAGUUGUGUGAAUAAGCGAAUGAUACAAGUAUUAAGCUUUACAGAUCUGUUCAAGCGUGUACCUUUUCUUUUACAUUUGCUUGCUCCUUUUGUCAUUUGAAACUGGCAGUGAACAUGUAAAGUAAUUCAAAAGGGACAAUUCUUCUGAUUUGUAUAUCUAUCUCAGCCCUUGCUUGAAAACCUAAAAAUUGACUUGCAUCCUUAUCAGACGACACUUUCUCUUCCUUAUUUCAUAGAACAAAGCAAUUGAAAUUGGAUAUAGAACAAGUCAAACAAAUGCACUUCAUAUAUAGUCUAGGGUGAUUAGAAUCUUACCAAUCCUAACGGAAAUGACUAAUAGGUUUAUUCAUCCAGACCCACAUUUAAGACCAUAGGGAAGAUAUUUGAUAUUCAUAAUCUGCAUGUCUUACAGAUUCACUUAAAAUAUUCAAAGUGCAAAGUACCUAGGAGUUGGUAUCUUCUUGUAGCUUCAUGUGCUCAUAUCAAUGUUGGAUUUUUUUUCAAUUUUUAGGUACCUAAUAUGGCUAAAUGCGUAAUGAAAAGGUCUGUCUUCCUAGCCUCCUAGAUCCAAGAUUUGCACGAAUAAGCGAAGGAUAUUUGUUUCAAAGCCUCUGUUACGAGUGAAAAAUGUGGCAAUGGAAGUAAGGAGUCACAGCUUACUUCUAUUCGGAUUCCAUCUCUACUAGGACAAUCCUGAUAUCCUUAUCAUCAUUUAUAUUCAAUUCCUUGGAGAUUCAUAAAGAAGGCAUGUGCAAAAUAUCUGAAUCUGGAACAGAUCUACACUUGAGGUUUUUUAUUGCAUUUUCUGUAUCUUAUUCUUUUGUAGGAAUGCAUCCAUAAUUUCGGUUUAAAAUUUGUUUGGAUGGUUCAGAAUCUUCAGAUGGCAUGGAUGAGACAUAAUUUGUUGUAUUCGGAUAUUUUUCAUGGUUACAAGUUAGGAAAUUUUGGUUCUAUUGCCAGAGCAUACUUUAUCUUUUCAUUUCCAUCAAUCCAUCUUGAUGUGUGAUCGGGUCGCUGUGUGAUGUUGUUAGCUAUUGAUAUGGUGUCUGUUUACAUCUGUUCAUAAGUACACUCUUUGACUAUUGUUUAUUUGAGACAUAUAGCAAGCACAAGAAAAAUCUGCGUGUGAAUUCCUAGAUAGCUUUUGAUAUUUUGGUCCUCUGGCCUUGUUCACACAUAGUGACUAACAGCCUUGGAAAAUUGGAUGGUCCUUGUGUCGGUACUUUACCAGAUUAUCGCAGAUAAAUUGCAAGAACCGGAAAUAUGUAGCUCCAGAAUUAGGGAACUAGAAAUAACUGAUUAUUUUCGCCAGAAAAUAGCUAGGUUUUUAUAGACCUUCAUUAUUAUAUACUUUUGCAUUUGCUGCAUUCUUUCUUUCAAGUUGUUUCAUUAUUUUUCCAUGUUAUCAUUAGGAUGCCCAGUGUAUUUCUGUUCAUAUGUACAUGCAUUGUGUAUGGUUUAUUUGUCCUAUCUGCCAGUGUCUAAGCGUGACAAGCAGCAAAGAGGGAGGGGGUAUUUCAAAUACAAAGCAAAAUGUGCACAAAAUAGAUGCGCCUCACACUGUCAUAGUAUAGACUGGAACAAAAUACACAUUGUAUAUAUAUAAUUACUACUAUUAUCCAGUGCUCAUGAUUUAUGUUCACAUAGAUACAUGGUAACAACAACAUACCUGGUAUUAUGGACAAUGACUACUCCAUUGCCACAACUGUAGAAUACACCAGACUGGCCAAAAGUGCUCCACUGCCUCAACUGUAGAAUACACCGGACUGGCCAAAAGUUGUCCAUAGCCACAACUAUAGAACACACUGGACCGACCAAAAGAUGCCUACAUAUGACCAAUAACUACAGAUAUGCUCUCCUGGACCAUGGUUUGUUGUUUAACCACUGUUACCUGACCAAAAAUUCAAAAACCACUGUCACCUCUUUUCUGAAUCAGAAGAUGGCUGACUCUCUGAUAUACUACUAGAAAAAAGCAUAGCCCAAAAAGCAUGAAUGAAUGAUGGAUCUGAACAUGUACUUCAUUAGUGAUGUGCAUAGCACAAAAAAUAUGGAUGGCAAUACAUGGCUGACGGAAAUGGUAACUUCAAAAAUUACAUGACAACCAAAACUUUAUGCAAGUCUAUGAAGAAAAUCAUUGUAUCAUUUUUCUUUAAUUAAUUUCGAAACAUACCUUCCUCUUGCAGCAGUCUUGCUCAUUCGGCCCUUCAACAGCAGUUCACCGAUUAGUUUAUCAGUCGGCGGCGGCAGCAGUGGUCUUCAGCACGGCAGCAGGCAGCACGAGCGGAGAAGGUAGUGAGAGAAGGAGAAGAAGCAGCAGAAACUAGCAGACACCCCGCACCCGUUGUGGCGGCCUGGAGGGGCGGCGAGAGUUGGCAAGGCAGGCGGCCAAUGGUUGGCAGUAGUGAGAAGCGAGUGAAAGACCUGGUUGACUUGGGGAAAGGAGGAGAACAGAGGACUGGUCGAUUUAGGGAAAGAAGAGCAGAUAAGGUUUGGUAGAUUUGGGGGAAAGGAGGAGGAGAGACGAGCGUGCGUGACAGCAGGUAGUCGGUGUAUUGGGCUUGGAUAUAUUUGAGCUGGGCCAAAUGCUUAUAGUGUACUUAAUUAUCCUUUUCAAUUAUGAAAUGGUGGGUCGUGGCACCCAUUUUAAUUUUGCAUGUUCUGUUAGGUUGCCUUCUGUAUGCCAGUUAGUAUUCAGUUUUCUUUUCUUUUGUUUGUUUGUAUUUCUUAAAAGCUAAUGUUGUUGCACAGUUUUUUUAACCUUUUCUUUUUGCUGGGAGAAAGAUGAUGCUCUUUCUUAGAAAAUUACUUAUUAGAUGGAACGGUAGUCACCUUGCAAAGUUCUUCCACCAAAUGUUUUUGUGUGUGCAACUUAUGAUCGGUUUUUCUAUUCAUUUAUUCUACAGUUUUAUUCUGCAGAAA